GAUGAACGCUGGCGGCGUGCCUAAUACAUGCAAGUCGAGCGAACAGACGAGGAGCUUGCUCCUCUGACGUUAGCGGCGGACGGGUGAGUAACACGUGGAUAACCUACCUAUAAGACUGGGAUAACUUCGGGAAACCGGAGCUAAUACCGGAUAAUAUAUUGAACCGCAUGGUUCAAUAGUGAAAGACGGUUUUGCUGUCACUUAUAGAUGGAUCCGCGCCGCAUUAGCUAGUUGGUAAGGUAACGGCUUACCAAGGCGACGAUGCGUAGCCGACCUGAGAGGGUGAUCGGCCACACUGGAACUGAGACACGUUCCAGACUCCUACGGGAGGCAGCAGUAGGGAAUCUUCCGCAAUGGGCGAAAGCCUGACGGAGCAACGCCGCGUGGGUGAUGAAGGUCUUCGGAUCGUAAAACUCUGUUAUUAGGGAAGAACAAAUGUGUAAGUAACUAUGCACGUCUUGACGGUACCUAAUCAGAAAGCCACGGCUAACUACGU
Molecule: ribosomal RNA, 496 nt
Filed under: uncultured bacterium
Lineage: Bacteria
Description: partial 16S ribosomal RNA
Rfam family: Bacterial small subunit ribosomal RNA
Source: RNAcentral